GUGGGGAAUCUUGCGCAAUGGGCGAAAGCCUGACGCAGCCAUGCCGCGUGAAUGAUGAAGGUCUUAGGAUUGUAAAAUUCUUUCACCGGGGACGAUAAUGACGGUACCCGGAGAAGAAGCCCCGGCUAACUUCGUGCCAGCAGCCGCGGUAAUACGAAGGGGGCUAGCGUUGCUCGGAAUUACUGGGCGUAAAGGGCGCGUAGGCGGACAUUUAAGUCAGGGGUGAAAUCCCAGAGCUCAACUCUGGAACUGCCUUUGAUACUGGGUGUCUUGAGUGUGAGAGAGGUAUGUGGAACUCCGAGUGUAGAGGUGAAAUUCGUAGAUAUUCGGAAGAACACCAGUGGCGAAGGCGACAUACUGGCUCAUUACUGACGCUGAGGCGCGAAAGCGUGGGGAGCAAACAGGAUUAGAUACCCGUGUAGUCC
RNAcentral lists this ribosomal RNA (425 nucleotides) under uncultured bacterium. Its description in RNAcentral is "bacterial SSU rRNA". It matches the Rfam family "Bacterial small subunit ribosomal RNA", at positions 354 to 796 of the family's 1533-position model. The record is from RNAcentral.